RNAcentral lists this ribosomal RNA (484 nucleotides) under uncultured bacterium. RNAcentral describes it as "bacterial SSU rRNA". It matches the Rfam family "Bacterial small subunit ribosomal RNA", at positions 30 to 507 of the family's 1533-position model. The record is from RNAcentral.
AUUGAACGCUGGCGGCAUGCCUUACACAUGCAAGUCGAACGGCAGCACGGGAGCAAUCCUGGUGGCGAGUGGCGAACGGGUGAGUAAUGUAUCGGAACGUACCUUUCAGUGGGGGAUAACGUAGCGAAAGUUACGCUAAUACCGCAUAUUCUGUGAGCAGGAAAGCAGGGGAUCUUAGGACCUUGCGCUGAUUGAGCGGCCGAUAUCAGAUUAGCUAGUUGGUGAGGUAAAGGCUCACCAAGGCGACGAUCUGUAGCGGGUCUGAGAGGAUGAUCCGCCACACUGGAACUGAGACACGGUCCAGACUCCUACGGGAGGCAGCAGUGGGGAAUUUUGGACAAUGGGGGCAACCCUGAUCCAGCCAUGCCGCGUGAGUGAAGAAGGCCUUCGGGUUGUAAAGCUCUUUCAGCCGGGAAGAAAACGCAUGGGUUAAUACCCUGUGUGGAUGACGGUACCGGAAUAAGAAGCACCGGCUAACUACGUG